AAACCAGCACCUCAAGUGGUCAGGAUGAUUAUUGGGCCUAAAGCAUCCGUAGCCGGCUCUGUAAGUUUUCGGUUAAAUCUGUACGCUCAACGUACAGGCUGCCGGGAAUACUGCAGAGCUAGGGAGUGGGAGAGGUAGACGGUACUCGGGAGGAAGUGGUAAAAUGCUUUGAUCUCUCGAUGACCACCUGUGGCGAAGGCGGUCUACCAGAACACGUCCGACGGUGAGGGAUGAAAGCUGGGGGAGCAAACCGGAUUAGAAACCCGGGUAGUCC
Molecule: ribosomal RNA, 274 nt
Filed under: uncultured bacterium
Lineage: Bacteria
Description: partial 16S ribosomal RNA
Rfam family: Archaeal small subunit ribosomal RNA
Source: RNAcentral